This 484-nucleotide ribosomal RNA is filed under the name uncultured bacterium. RNAcentral's name for it is "partial 16S ribosomal RNA". It matches the Rfam family "Bacterial small subunit ribosomal RNA", at positions 29 to 507 of the family's 1533-position model. The record is from RNAcentral.
AUUGAACGCUGGCGGCAUGCUUUACACAUGCAAGUCGAACGGCAGCGCGGGCUUCGGCCUGGCGGCGAGUGUCGAACGGGUGAGUAAUGCAUCGGAACGUGCCCAGUAGUGGGGGAUAGCCCGGCGAAAGCCGGAUUAAUACCGCAUACGACCUGAGGGUGAAAGCGGGGGACCGAAAGGCCUCGCGCUAUUGGAGCGGCCGAUGUCGGAUUAGCUAGUUGGUGGGGUAAAGGCUUACCAAGGCGACGAUCCGUAGCUGGUCUGAGAGGACGACCAGCCACACUGGGACUGAGAAACGGCACAGACUCCUACGGGAGGAAGCAGUGGGGAAUUUUGGACAAUGGGGGCAACCCUCAUCCAGCCAUGCCGCGUGCGGGAAGAAGGCCUUCGGGUUGUAAAACGCUUUUGUUCGGGAAGAAAUCCUCUGGGCUAAUACCCCGGGGGGAUGACGGUACCGGAAGAAUCAGCACCGGCUAACUACGUG